RNAcentral lists this non-coding RNA (25 nucleotides) under Cricetulus griseus (Chinese hamster). Lineage: Eukaryota; Metazoa; Chordata; Mammalia; Rodentia; Cricetidae. The record is from RNAcentral.
AAGUGGAAUAAAAGUUUAUGAAUGG